UCGAAUGUAAUUGGAAUUUAAUUUUAAUUUUUAUACUUUCUAUUUUACAGGCUCGAGUCAAUGCAUGAGUACAAUUUCGCGUCACACUGUAUAUGUCACGGUGGGAAUGUUUGUACUUCCAUGAAGGGACAUGGUAUUGAUGUACAACAACAAAAAUGGUUGUCAUUGACCUAUAAAAUGCAAAAAAUUUGCUGCUAUGCACAAACUCAACUUGGUCAUGGCUUCAACAUACAAGGCCUUGAAACCACUACAACAUUUGACCAUAAGGCUGAUGAAUCUGUAGUUCAUACUCUAACAUUGACUUUAAGCGAAGUAAGAAACAUGAUAGAUAAGAGGUUGGUAAUGUUUCAUGUUCCUGUUAAACAUUGGGACAAAUGCUUUUUCACUACACAUCUAAUUAUUGUAUUAUAGUUGUUUUCUUAUCCACUUACGUUUCUAAUUUCUUAUGCUAUAUUUUAUGUAUCUUCCUCGAAUUCCUCAAAUUUGUUCUAUAUUUUCUGUCUUAUUUUCCGAAUAGUGGUGUCCUGAUGGACUAGGUAAAUUGUCCACCCAUGCGGUUGUUUAUGCAUGCCAUUACAAUGGUAAAGAUCAUGGAGUUCAUGGUAAGAAUAUAUAGCCUCUAUUGACAUUGAUAUCC
RNAcentral lists this long non-coding RNA (637 nucleotides) under Olea europaea subsp. europaea. Lineage: Eukaryota; Viridiplantae; Streptophyta; Magnoliopsida; Lamiales; Oleaceae. The record is from RNAcentral.